RNAcentral lists this unclassified non-coding RNA (400 nucleotides) under uncultured Gammaproteobacteria bacterium. Its description in RNAcentral is "contains 16S-23S intergenic spacer region". Lineage: Bacteria; Pseudomonadati; Pseudomonadota; Gammaproteobacteria. The record is from RNAcentral.
CCGUCAAUUCAUUUGAGUUUUAAUCUUGCGACCGUACUCCCCAGGCGGUCAACUUCACGCGUUAGCUUCGUUACUAAAGGAUUUCACUCCUCCAACAACUAGUUGACAUCGUUUAGGGCGUGGACUACCAGGGUAUCUAAUCCUGUUUGCUCCCCACGCUUUCGUGCAUGAGCGUCAGUGUCGACCCAGGGGGCUGCCUUCGCCAUCGGUAUUCCUCCACAUCUCUACGCAUUUCACUGCUACACGUGGAAUUCUACCCCCCUCUGCCGCACUCUAGCCUUCCAGUUCCAAAUGCAGUUCCCAGGUUAAGCCCGGGGAUUUCACAUCUGGCUUAAAAAGCCGCCUGCGCACGCUUUACGCCCAGUAAUUCCGAUUAACGCUCGCACCCUACGUAUUACCG